AUUGAACGCUGGCGGCAUGCCUUACACAUGCAAGUCGAACGGCAGCACGGGAGCAAUCCUGGUGGCGAGUGGCGAACGGGUGAGUAAUAUAUCGGAACGUGCCCAGUCGUGGGGGAUAACGUAGCGAAAGCUACGCUAAUACCGCAUACGAUCUAUGGAUGAAAGCGGGGGAUCGCAAGACCUCGCGCGAUUGGAGCGGCCGAUAUCAGAUUAGGUAGUUGGUGAGGUAAAGGCUCACCAAGCCAACGAUCUGUAGCUGGUCUGAGAGGACGACCAGCCACACUGGAACUGAGACACGGUCCAGACUCCUACGGGAGGCAGCAGUGGGGAAUUUUGGACAAUGGGCGCAAGCCUGAUCCAGCAAUGCCGCGUGCAGGAUGAAGGCCUCGGGUUGUAAACUGCUUUGUACGGAACGAAACGGUGAGCUCUAAUACAGUUUGCUAAUGACGGUACCGUAAGAAUAAGCACCGGCUAACUACGUG
Molecule: ribosomal RNA, 482 nt
Filed under: uncultured bacterium
Lineage: Bacteria
Description: bacterial SSU rRNA
Rfam family: Bacterial small subunit ribosomal RNA
Source: RNAcentral